UGGGGAAUUUUCUGCAAUGGGCGAAAGCCUGACAGAGCAAUACCGCGUGAGGGAUUGAAAGCCUACGGGUUGUAAACCUCUUUUCUCGAGGAAGAAAAAAUGACGGUACUCGAGGAAUAAGCAUCGGCUAACUCCGUGCCAGCAGCCGCGGUAAUACGGGGGAUGCAAGCGUUAUCCGGAAUUACUGGGCGUAAAGCGUCUGCAGGUGGAUUUUUAAGUCCUUUGUUAAAGCCUGAGGCUCAACCUCAGAAAAGCAAAGGAAACUAAUAAUCUUGAGGAUGGUAGAGGUAAAGGGAAUUUCCAGUGGAGCGGUGAAAUGCGUAGAUAUUGGAAAGAACGCCGAAGGCGAAAGCACUUUACUGGGCCAUUUCUGACACUCAGAGACGAAAGCUAGGGGAGC
This 400-nucleotide ribosomal RNA is filed under the name uncultured bacterium. RNAcentral describes it as "bacterial SSU rRNA". It matches the Rfam family "Bacterial small subunit ribosomal RNA", at positions 355 to 769 of the family's 1533-position model. The record is from RNAcentral.